This is a non-coding RNA of Schistosoma haematobium, 45 nucleotides long. Lineage: Eukaryota; Metazoa; Platyhelminthes; Trematoda; Strigeidida; Schistosomatidae. The record is from Rfam.
AUCUAGCUGACGAGUCCCAAAUGGGACACAACACGUGUACUGGAU